AUGUCCAAUGUGGACCUGGAAGACCUCAGAUUUAUCUAUCGUCAGAUCAGAGCAGGGUCUGCCAUGUUGAGGGCCUACAAAAGUGACACCCGGGCAAUGCCCUAUGAGUCUCUGACGGUGGCUGAUGUUGGGGACGUCAACGUGUAUGAGGCCUACCGUACAAUCCUGGCCACGGGCUUUAUCCACCUUACUAUUGACUCGGCCCUGUGGGUCUCAUCCAUGUGGAUGCCCAAGAUUGGCCCGGGACCCCCUUCAGACGUUGUGGGUAGAAGGGCCUGCUGGACUGCAAGAGGGUUGUCCAGAUAGAGCUGUGUGGAACACGCUACUCACCUGAAGCCUACGAGUGGAGCCGAGGACAGGUACACACUUCAUUGUGUGUAGUGGUCUUCCUCACCUAUGGCGACACAAACAUUAACAAUAGUUAAAAAUACAGGUCCUUCAGAAAGUAUUCACACCUCUUGACCUCUUCCACAUUUUCCUGUGUUACAACCUGACUUUAAGGUGGAUUAAAUUUAGAUUUAAAAAAAAAAAAUCAUUGCCCUCCACACAAUGCCCCAUAAUGUCAUAGUGGAAUUCUGUUUUUACAAAUUAAUAAACAAUUCAUAGCUGAGAUGUCUUGAGUCAAUAAGUAUUCAACCCCUUUGUCAUGGGAAGCCUAAAUAAGUUCAGGAGUAAAAAUGUACUGAACAAGUCACAUAAUAGGUUGCAUGGACACACUCUGUGUGCAAUAAUAGUGUUUAAAAUGAUUUUUGAAUAACUAUCUCAUCUCUAUACCACAAACAUACAAUUAUCUGAGGUCCCUCAGUCGAGCAGUGAAUUUCAAACAGAUUCAACCACAAAGAAAAGUGAGGUUUUCCAAUGCCUCGCAAAGAAGGGCACCUAUUGUUAGAUUGUCACGGAUUCCCCCGGUACUGCUGCUCAUUCCGUGCACCAGCUCUGGAGGCCUACUUCACCGGCCUCUAGGCGUCACUGAACUCAUUCCCAUUCCCCCUGAUUAGUAAUUGUAUAUAUGUGUCCUCUGUUCACCAUUGUUUUGUCGGUUAUUGUUCCCAUGUCUGUUGAUCUUGUGAGUACCUGUGCUUUGUGGAGUUGGUUUUCGUGCUGUGUAUUAUGUGUUCGUUAUUACGGGUCCCGUCUCGUGUAUUGUUGUGCACUUAUUAUUACGGGUCUCAUCCCAUGUAUUUAUUAGAGGUUUAAGCUCGCUCUUUUGUUUGGGUUUACAACCCUGUGUUUUUGUAUAUGUGUUUGUUUUGGGCUUCGUCCCCGUAUUCUUUCAUGGCAUGUUGUAUUUUUGGGUGGAGUAUUAAAACCCCCUAUUACAUGUUCCU
This is a long non-coding RNA of Oncorhynchus tshawytscha (Chinook salmon), 1328 nucleotides long. The record is from Ensembl. NCBI's taxonomy places the organism in Eukaryota, Metazoa, Chordata, Actinopteri, Salmoniformes, Salmonidae.